CUCACCCUGCGGUGUUCGAGAUUGCCAUAUAUUCCUUGAACCAUUUAUGUGCACCGGUUGCGGGAUAUGUGUGGUGGGAGUGAUCGUCGCUCGUUCGAUGAACCCGAAACUGUACUAACUGCGACCACCUUGAACCGUUUGGUUCGGGAUGCCGGCAUAGAACGGCACUGGCGGGGUACUG
This 181-nucleotide non-coding RNA is filed under the name Pseudomonadota bacterium. RNAcentral describes it as "6S RNA". It matches the Rfam family "6S / SsrS RNA". Rfam says of the family: E. coli 6S RNA was the first non coding RNA to be sequenced, but its function was unknown until recently. It consists of 184 nucleotides that fold into an extended hairpin structure with a large single-stranded internal bulge. The record is from RNAcentral. Lineage: Bacteria; Pseudomonadati; Pseudomonadota.